UACGAUCAGCAUAAGGGCGCACGACGGAUGACUUGGCAUCGAGAGGCGAUGAAGGACGUUGGAACCUGCGAUAAGUCUGAGGGAGCCGGUAACCAGGCAGUGAUCUCAGAAUCUCCGAAUGGGGCAACCCACCCGCAAGGGUACUUUACUCUGAAUGCAUAGGGGUAAAGAGCGAACGCUGGGAACUGAAACAUCUAAGUACCAGCAGGAAAGGAAAGCAAUUGCGACUCCGUAAGUAGCGGCGAGCGAACGCGGAUAAAGUGGAAAGACAGCAGAAGCGCUUGGAAUGGCGCACCUGAGAAGGUGAAAGUCCUGUAUCUGUCUCCACGGAGCCCAAGAGUAAACUCAGGCUCGGGAAACCUGGGUUGAACAUGGGGGGUCCACCCUCCAAGGCUAAGUACUACUCGAUGACCGAUAGCGAACCAGUAAGGCGACUGAACGUUGAAAAGUACCGUGACGAACGGUGUGAAAGAGAUCUGAAAUCGUGCGCUUACAAGCGGUCGGAGCCCCUCGGGGUGACGGCGUGCUUUUUGCAUAAUGAGCCAGCGAGUUAGUCUGUACGGCGAGCCUAAGGGUCAACGACCCGGAGGCGGAGCGAAAGCGAGUCCGAAAUGGGCGUCAAGUCGUACGGGCUAGACACGAAACCUUGUGAUCUACCCUUGGCCAGAAUGAAGGGCGGGUAAAACCGCCUGGAGGUUCGAACGCGUGACCGUUGAAAAGGUCUGCGAUGAGCUGAGGGGAGGACUCAAAGUGUAAUCAAACUGGGAGAUAGCUUGUUCUUUCCGAAAUGCCUUUAGGGGCAGCCUCAGAGGCCACACGUUGGGGGUAGAGCGACUGGAUGACUGUCGGGGUCCGCAAGACUACCGCGGUCAACCAAACUCCGAAUACCAAUGUGAUUGCUCUGGGAGUGAGACGGUGAGCGAUAAUGUCCAUCGUCAAAAGGAGAAAAAUCCUGAUCGCCAGCUAAGGUCCCUAAGUUCCGCUUAGUUCGAAAGGAAGUCACUUUGCUGUGACAGCCGGGAUGUUGGCUUAGAAGCAGCCACCAUUUAAAGAGUGCGUAACAGCUCACCGGCCGAGGAAAGUGGCGCCGAUAAUGAUCGGGAAUAAGCGGAACACCGAAGCUGCGGACGCGAAAGCGUGGUAGGAAAGCGUUGCUGCAGCAGUGAAGUCGUGCCGGAAGGCUAGAUGGAGCGGCAGCAAGUGAAGAUGCUGGCUUGAGUAACGAUAAAACGGGUGAAAAUCCCGUUCGCCGUAAGCCUAAGGUUUCCUGGGGAAGGUAAAUCCGCCCAGGGUUAGUCGGGUCCUAAGGCGAGGCCGACAGGCGUAGUCGAUGGAUAGCAGGCCAAAUAUUCCUGCACCCUUGCGUAGAUCAAUCCGUUGUUCAGAUUUCCGAGCUCCACGGGACUGUCAGAUGUCCAGGCGCAAGCCGAUGUGGGGGGAGGGAGUCUCUAGAAAAGCAGCGGUGGCGAAACAAGGCCCGUACCUCAAACUGACACAGGUAGGCGAGGCGAAUAGCCUCAGGCGCUCGAGAGAACGGUCGUGAAGGAACUAGGCAAUAUAACCCCGUAUGUUAGCUAGAAGGGGGGCCUACUCGUAAGAGAGGCCGCAGAGAAAAGGAUCUGGGAACUGUUUAUCAAAAACACAGCUCUGUGCCAACGCGAAAGCGGAUGUAUACAGAGUGACGCGUGCCCAAUGCCGGAAUGUCAAGGGAGCGGUUCAGCGAAAGCGAAGAUCGCGACCGAAGCACCGGUGAAUGGCGGCCGUAACUAUGACGGUCCUAAGGUAGCGAAGUUCCUUGUCGGGUAAGUUCCGACGCGCAUGAAUCGCGUAAUCACUGGAUCACUGUCUCCACGACCGACUCGGUGAAAUAGUAGUGGCGGUGAAGAUACCGCCUUCCCGCAGCAAGACGGAAAGACCCCGUGGACCUUCACUGCAGGCUCUUAUUGUUCACGAGCAUAUACUGCGUAGCAUAGGUGGGAGGCUUUGAUGACCGGGUCCCGGCCCGGUAGUAGCCAUAGGUGAAAUACCACCCUGUGUAAGUUUGUGGACUAACUUCGAUUCCCAUGAAUCUGGGCGAAGAACAGUGAGUGUCGGGCAGUUUGACUGGGGCGGUCUCCUCCCAAAUUGUAACGGAGGAGUGCAAAGGUCGGCUCAGUACGGAUGGAAACCGUACGUCGAGUGCAAGGGCACAAGCCGGCUUUACUGCGAGUCCGACAGGACGAGCAGUCUCGAAAGAGGGCCCUAGUGAUCCUGCGAUCCCGUGUGGAAGGGUCGUAGCUCAUCGGAUAAAAGGUACCCCGGGGAUAACAGGCUGAUCGCUCCCGAGCGUCCAUAGCGGCGGAGCGGUUUGGCACCUCGAUGUCGGCCCAUCACAUCCUGGGACUGAAGGCGGCCCCAAGGGUUCGGCUGUUCGCCGAU
This 2418-nucleotide ribosomal RNA is filed under the name Planctomycetota bacterium. RNAcentral describes it as "Planctomycetes bacterium (mine drainage metagenome) partial 23S ribosomal RNA". It matches the Rfam family "Bacterial large subunit ribosomal RNA", at positions 1 to 2588 of the family's 2925-position model. Lineage: Bacteria; Pseudomonadati; Planctomycetota. The record is from RNAcentral.